UGCCUCAUACAUGCAAGUCGAACGAGGUCUUCGGACCUAGUGGCGCACGGGUGAGUAACAUGUGGGAAUCUGCCUGAAGGUUCGGAAUAACUGCGGGAAACUGUAGCUAAUACCGGAUGUGUCUGUAAAGAGAAAGAUUUAUCGCCUUCAGAUGAGCCCGCACUAGAUUAGCUAGUUGGUGAGGUAAUUGCUCCACCAAGGCUACGAUCUAUAGCUGAUUUGAGAGGAUGAUCAGCCACACUGGGACUGAGACACGGCCCAGACUCCUACGGGAGGCAGCAGUAGGGAAUAUUGGACAAUGGGGGAAACCCUGAUCCAGCAAUGCCGCGUGAGUGAAGAAGGCCUUCGGGUUGUAAAACUCUUUCAUCAAUGAUGAUAAUGACAUUAGUUGAAGAAGAAGCUCCGGCUAACUUCGUGCCAGCAGCCGCGGUAAUACGAAGGGGGCUAGCGUUGUUCGGAAUCACUGGGCGUAAAGCGUAUGUAGGCGGAUCAAAAAGUUAGAUGUGAAAUCCCUGGGCUCAACCCAGGAACUGCAUUUAAAACUAGUGAUCUAGAAUUUGGUAGGGGUUAGUAGAAUUUCCAGUGUAGAGGUGAAAUUCGUAGAUAUUGGAAAGAAUACCAGUGGCGAAGGCGACUAACUGGGCCAUUUUUGACGCUAAGAUACGAAAGCGUGGGUAGCAAACAGGAUUAGAUACCCUGGUAGUCCACGCAGUAAACGAUGAGUGCUAGUCGCUGGGACAAUAGUUUCAGUGUCGAAGCUAACGCAUUAAGCACUCCGCCU
RNAcentral lists this ribosomal RNA (781 nucleotides) under uncultured Alphaproteobacteria bacterium. RNAcentral's name for it is "bacterial SSU rRNA". It matches the Rfam family "Bacterial small subunit ribosomal RNA", at positions 45 to 874 of the family's 1533-position model. The record is from RNAcentral. Lineage: Bacteria; Pseudomonadati; Pseudomonadota; Alphaproteobacteria.